RNAcentral lists this ribosomal RNA (380 nucleotides) under uncultured eukaryote. RNAcentral describes it as "partial 18S ribosomal RNA". It matches the Rfam family "Eukaryotic small subunit ribosomal RNA", at positions 592 to 976 of the family's 1831-position model. The record is from RNAcentral.
CAAUAGCGUAUAUUAAAGUUGUUGCGGUUAAAAAGCUCGUAGUUGGAUUUCUGCUGAGGAUGACCGGUCCGCCCUCCGGGUGAGUAUCUGGCUCAGCCUUGGCAUCUUCCUGAAGAACGUAACUGCACUUGACUGUGUGGUGCGGUAUUUAGGACAUUUACUUUGAGGAAAUUAGAGUGUUUCAAGCAAGCGCACGCCUUGAAUACAUUAGCAUGGAAUAAUAAUAUAAGACCUUGGAUCUUUUUUGUUGGUUUCUAGAACCAAGGUAAUGAUUAAUAGGGAUAAUUGGGGGCAUUCGUAUUCAACUGUCAGAGGUGAAAUUCUUGGAUUUGUUGAAGACGAUCUACUGCGAAAGCAUUUGCCAGGGAUGUUUUCAUUGA